GCCCUUGUAGCUCAGUGGUAGAGCGCAGCACUUGUACUUCUACACAAGUCCAUGCUGAGGUCCAUCGUUCAAUCCGGUGCGGGGGCA
This 87-nucleotide transfer RNA is filed under the name Hypoxylon sp. EC38. RNAcentral's name for it is "tRNA-Thr". It matches the Rfam family "tRNA". Rfam says of the family: Transfer RNA (tRNA) molecules are approximately 80 nucleotides in length. Their secondary structure includes four short double-helical elements and three loops (D, anti-codon, and T loops). The record is from RNAcentral. Lineage: Eukaryota; Fungi; Ascomycota; Sordariomycetes; Xylariales; Hypoxylaceae.